AAUCGGGAGAACUGGCCCUGCCAGUGCCGAAGGAGCAACCGCCCCCGGAAACUCUCAGGCGACGGGACCGAUUU
This 74-nucleotide non-coding RNA is filed under the name marine eukaryotic metagenome. Its description in RNAcentral is "Glycine riboswitch". It matches the Rfam family "Glycine riboswitch aptamer", at positions 8 to 87 of the family's 94-position model. Rfam says of the family: This family represents the bacterial glycine riboswitch. Glycine riboswitches usually consist of two metabolite-binding aptamers domains with similar structures in tandem. The record is from RNAcentral.